AGCUUGUAGUCUUUUAUUGUAAGUGAUUUCUGCCCAAUGAUUUAUUUUAAUGGCCGCAGUACCCUGACUGUGCUAAGGUAGCAUAAUAAGUUGGCUUUUAAUUGGAGUCUGGAAUGAAUGAAGUAACGGAAAAAAACUGUCUUUUUAUAGAUCUUAAUAAUUUUUUUAAAUGGUGAAAAUCCCAUUAGUAAUAAAUAGGACGAGAAGACCCUAAGAAUUUUUAAGAAAAAUUUUAAUAAAUUUUAAUUUUUAGCUGGGGCGGCUUAAGACCAAAAUUAAACGUCUUUAAAUAUUUAUCUGUUUUUAACAGUAUUAAUUAAUAUUACCUUAGGGAUAACAGCAUAAUUUUGUUUUUAGCUUGUGACCUCGAUGUUGGACUAGGAUAAUUACGAUUAAAAGUCUAAAAAUUUUGUUCUGUUCGAACACUUCCUCCUACAU
RNAcentral lists this ribosomal RNA (438 nucleotides) under Laevicaulis sp. JRK-2017. Its description in RNAcentral is "partial 16S ribosomal RNA". It matches the Rfam family "Bacterial large subunit ribosomal RNA", at positions 1828 to 2601 of the family's 2925-position model. The record is from RNAcentral. Lineage: Eukaryota; Metazoa; Mollusca; Gastropoda; Systellommatophora; Veronicellidae.